RNAcentral lists this ribosomal RNA (497 nucleotides) under uncultured bacterium. RNAcentral's name for it is "partial 16S ribosomal RNA". It matches the Rfam family "Bacterial small subunit ribosomal RNA", at positions 28 to 507 of the family's 1533-position model. The record is from RNAcentral.
GAUGAACGCUGGCGGCGUGCCUAAUACAUGCAAGUCGAGCGAACAGACGAGGAGCUUGCGCCUCUGACGUUAGCGGCGGACGUGUGAGUAACACGUGUAUAACCUACCUAUAAUACUGGGAUAACUUCGGGAAACCGGAGCUAAUACCGGAUAAUAUAUUGAACCGCAUGGUUCAAUAGUGAAAGACGGUGUUGGUGUCACUUAUAGAGGGAUCCCGGCCGUAUUGGCUAGUUGGUAAGGUAACGGGCUAUCAAGGGAAGGAGGCGUGGGCGACCUGAGUGGGUGAUCGCCCACCCUGGAAGGGAACCACGGUCCAGACUCCUACGGGAGGCAGCAGUAGGGAACCUUCCGCAGUGGGCGAAAGCAUGACGGAGCAACGCGGAGUGAGAGACGACGGUCUUCCGAUCGUAAAACCCUGUUAUGAGGGAAGAACAACUGUGUACGUAAACAUGCACGUAUUGACGGUACCUAAUAAGAAAGCACCGGCUAACUACGUG